UAACACGUAUCCAACCUGCCCUUUACUCGGNNAUAGCCUUUCGAAAGAAAGAUUAAUACCCGAUAGUAUAAUGAUUCCGCAUGGUUUCAUUAUUAAAGGAUUCCGGUAAAGGAUGGGGAUGCGUUCCAUUAGGUUGUUGGUGAGGUAACGGCCCACCAAGCCUUCGAUGGAUAGGGGUUCUGAGAGGAAGGUCCCCCACAUUGGAACUGAGACACGGUCCAAACUCCUACGGGAGGCAGCAGUGAGGAAUAUUGGUCAAUGGGCGCUAGCCUGAACCAGCCAAGUAGCGUGAAGGAUGAAGGCUCUAUGGGUCGUAAACUUCUUUUAUAUAAGAAUAAAGUGCAGUAUGUAUACUGUUUUGUAUGUAUUAUAUGAAUAAGGAUCGGCUAACUCCGUGCCAGCAGCCGCGGUAAUACGGAGGAUCCGAGCGUUAUCCGGAUUUAUUGGGUUUAAAGGGAGCGUAGGUGGACUGGUAAGUCAGUUGUGAAAGUUUGCGGCUCAACCGUAAAAUUGCAGUUGAUACUGUCAGUCUUGAGUACAGUAGAGGUGGGCGGAAUUCGUGGUGUAGCGGUGAAAUGCUUAGAUAUCACGAAGAACUCCGAUUGCGAAGGCAGCUCACUGGACUGCAACUGACACUGAUGCUCGAAAGUGUGGGUAUCAAACAGGAUUAGAUACCCUGGUAGUCCACACAGUAAACGAUGAAUACUCGCUGU
Molecule: ribosomal RNA, 713 nt
Filed under: uncultured bacterium
Lineage: Bacteria
Description: bacterial SSU rRNA
Rfam family: Bacterial small subunit ribosomal RNA
Source: RNAcentral